GUGUGGAGAAGGCACAGGCUUCCGACUUUGGAGAACUGAGCUCAAGUCUUUUUUCUGCCAGCUGAGUGAACUUCACCAAGCUGAUUCCCCUUCUCUGAGAUUUGUUCUUCAUUCAUAAACCAAGAUGGAUAAGAAGCCUGGAUUUACUCUCCCAUCUGAAACAACCUAAAAGACCAGACAGUAUAUCAAACAGUGGUUCUCAGGACACCAGCUAUCUGGAAAUGAAAGGCAGCAGCCCCUGAAAGACAGGAAGCCAGUGAAGAAACUUCCCGAAUCUUUAUGUACCAACACCUGUGAUUAUGCAAAGCUUUGCUCAAAACCACCGUCAGUGCUCACAUCCAGAACAUAAACAAACGGAGGACUUACUGUUCCUUGCCCUCCUUCCAAACUUUCCAAAAGAAUAUCUUCUUAACAUAGAGAGAUGCACUCUUCAUUUCUGUGGAAAAGAAGUGUCCUAGUUAUAUGGUCACGUACCACUGAAACGGUUACGUGUUUUCAUGCACUGCAUUUUAGAAGGCCCAUAAAAGAGUUCUUGUGGAGAGAAAACACAGCUGGUGCCCAAUUAGAGAGGUGAUCAGGACUAAUUGACUGGGAGAGCUCGUAAGUAAGCCAGACCCCACGCUGCAGAGAGAGAGAAAGAGACACUGCGGCGGGGGAUGGAGGUGGCACCACUCGGUCACACAAAGGCCAUGGCUGAGAGGGGUGGAUGGCUUAUUCCGGGAGGCAGAGUUGGUCAUGCGGUGACCCCUGACUUGAAGGUUUCAAGGUUGGCUCUGCAAGGCUGUCACCUGGCUCUAGCUCACUCCCUUCUGUGGGAAGCCUCAGCUCUUGAACCUGUAGUCAGGCAUCAGCUCCUAUCUUGUCUGUCAUCACUGGCCCCAGGAAAUUUCUAGAGGGGAAGGUGACCAUCAUCCUCAGGAAGGCCUCCGGGAUGGCCUGCCUGUACUUCUCUCCUCACAGACCUCUUGAGACAGCGGCUGUCUUCCUUACCCCUUCCCUCCCACACAUCACACGCUCACCCCUCCUGGCCCAUGGCUGCUGCUUCUGUCUCCUCUUCCCACUCUGCCCCCACGACACUGCGCUGCUCCCAAGACACUUGGCUUAAAAUCUGGCUGCUCUGUGUGCCUCUGUCUCAAAUCACCUGUAUUCCUCACUGUCUCUGUGGAGAUGGUUUUUGCUUUUCCAUAGCCCCCAUCCCUCAGGGCCAAAAGGCUAGAUCAAGUUUCUUCUUUUGCCUCCUAGUUCUACUUGAGCCAUAAUCCUCUGCUCUCUGUGACACACACACACACACACACACACACACACACACACACAAACACACACACACUUGCUGCCAGGCAUUUGGAAUGAGAUGCUUACUUACUGUCUGCUAUAGUAGCUGUGUGUUUCACAAGGAAGUGUGGUCUUGGGACCCUCAGCCUGAGGAUCACCUGGGAACUUCUUAGAAAUGCAAACCGCAGCCCAGCCCCUACCUCAGACUUCUAGGGGAGGGAACAACCCUGUGCUUUCACAAGCCCAGCCAACUCUGCUGCUCAACAUGCGGGAACCACUGGUGCAGCAUCUCAGAGUGCGGGCUCCAAUACCAGCCCACCUGAGUUCAAAUCCCAUUUUGACGCACAUUUGUGUGCUACCUUAGCCACGCGACAUAACUCCUGCUGUGCUAGGCACUCUUCUUCUUCACCAAUAAAUGGGAACUAUAGUAAUUACUAUAGUAAUUAUAGUGGGGAAUCAUGGUAGAACUGAAGUGACUGUACAUCUAACGUGCUUAGAACAGUAUCAUAAACUCUCGUGAACUGUGAACUGCUACUGUUAUUAUCUUUGAAAGGCAAUUUUAAUAGCACUCUGGCCAUGGGAUGUUUGCACCCCGAUCCGUCAGGUUGUGGUCAUUUGUGACUUUUAAGUGACUCUUCUACAUCUGGUCUUUCUCCAGCUUCCUGUGGCGUAGAGGGCAGUGGGCUUCUACAGACACCUUUCUCUGAGGUCUUCCAUUUUAUAUUUGCAUAUUUGACUAUUAAAAAAGCAUACUUUAUUUCCAAAGCUCAUUUCCUGGUAAAACGUAGCCCAGGAAGUUGCAAAAUACUUAACUGGAGGCUAGUUAUAUCCUUCUUUGAACCCCCAUUGUCCUCAAGGAAUGAAAACAUGGCUCCAUUGGUCAGACCUUUGACUGCCCAGUUCCAGGGACCUUCACCUUGACUGUAUGCUAUCCACUCCACUAGAGCCACACCUGGCUCUUAUCUUGGUUGGCUACUGCUCCACUCAUGAAAUCUCAAACCUUGCGGUCUCACUCUUCAGCCCUUCCUCUUAUCUCUCCAGAGCUUUUACCAACCUGGCUCUAGGACCUCCUCUGGAGCUCCAGCCUCUCAGACCUCCUUGGAUUCUCACUGUUGCCACAUCUCUUCUGCCACAUGGAUGGAGGGACAAAUAGCAAGAGCAAGAAAUAAACAUUUGUGUCUGUAAGCCACUUAGAAAAUUAAAAAAAAAAAAUUCUGCAGCAUGACCUGGCUCUUCCUACUGAGGUGCCUGCCCCCUCAGUGGGUGAGAUGAUGAAAGGUCAUGUGAGUAGAGUGCUGGUCCAGUGUUAGGCCCAUAAUAAUCGCUCCAGAAAUACCAGCUAUUACUCUCACCACCAAAACUCACAGGGCCCAUGCACUGCCUUGUAAUGUAUCUACACCCCCCCCAAUCGGAUCACUCUCCUUCUGUACAAUAGCAAUUCCAAACUUUAUCCGUCAUCUUUCCACCAAACUCUCAGCCUUCAUAAAGAAGACAGAAGUGAGCAGGUGGGAACAUUCUCAGUAAGUUUUCUCCAAACCUACAAGUUUCAGUUUCUAUCCUCUUUUAGAGGAAGUUGGUUUCUAUCACCUGACCACAAGAAUUGGAGGGCAGAAGUAUCAGUGACUUCUAAGACUGGGAAAAGCUGAGCAUUCAUUCAUUCCUCCAUCUAUUCGUCCAUUAUAAAUACCUAGUAGGAGGGGGUUGGAGCUUGGAGAAAUGUGAUUUGAAGAUGAGGAAAUGUGAUUUGAAUUGAGACCUAAAGGGAUAGCUAGGCUAGACCUAUUUUUCUUUCUCAGAUAGGCACUCUCUGUGCUGUCUCUUGCUUAUCUACCCAGGUACAUCGGUGGUCAAGGGGAGGAAGUGGGAGGACUGGUCUGGCGCUCACAAACCAGGCCUACCUGCCUCUACCCUGGGCAUAUGGAGGAACAAAAAGGAAGGUAGGUGAGGGAUCUGUAAGGAAAACCUGAGGAAGGGACUGCCCUUGUGGAAGCCCCAGCCAUUCUCCUGGGCUUCAUGAGGGGCUGACACACAAAGAAAGAAUGGCACGCUUCUCCCACCUCCAGGCAGGAUUCCCUGGAACCCCAGACAGGCAGGCAGGCAGGCAGGCAGACAGGCAGACAGGCAGGCAGGCAGACAGACAGACAGACGGUGCUGUUUCUUUUCCUGAUACAACAUCCUUGGCAGCUGCCUCUGACUCAGCCUCCGCACCCUCCCAGUGGGUGGGGUAGACAAUCAGCCCAGUCCACAGGGUGGACGUGGUAGGUGGCACCCAGAGCAAAGUUGCAGACAUCUGCAGACACAAAGAACUUUGAUUUCCCUCCCAACCCAGGGACAUUCGCAGCUCUCCCUCCUUUACCUGUCACUCAGCGCACCAUCUGGUUCCAAACUCAAACAGCCAUCGGCCCUCUCCCUGGGUGGCUGGGAUGAGAAGUCCUUGAUGGUGCAGCAUGUCCCAACUGAAAGGGCCUUAGGGACUAGCUGUCACAUGAAAGGACCGUCCAUCCAUUCCAGGAAGACCCAGUCCUGGCGGCAGGGCCCAAAGAGCUGAAAGAGCUGGCAACUCAUAUCCAGGGCAACUUGCUUGUUAAGGACAACAGGUCUUGGGCCACCAAGUUUAGAUGAAAUACAAUGUUUUAGCGUGUAUUACUAAAGUACUUGCCUUUAUAUCCAUGCAGUUGUAAAGUAUGAUUAGACACAUACAUAGAUGUAUAUUCACGUUCACAUUUACAUUAAGCCACUGCAGUCCUCCCUACUCACAUCAUCUCUGGGAUUGUUUCCUCCUCCAUACAGUGAGGGUCACAGUACCACUCACACCCUGCCCCUCCGCAGUGCCUUUGUGUCCCGUGAACUCUCUCAGGGAUCCGACCACUUCCACAUUUACCAAGUGGGGAGGCUCCUGUUUGCACCCCAUGUGGCAUCCACAUCCCCUGGUGUUGCAUUGAGGCAUCUUGCUGUUCUCCACUGUGGGCUGCCACCACGUUCCCCGCCAUCCCCUGUCCACUGCUCUCCAGCUGGAAACACCUUGUCUGGUGCUGUUUCUGGAAUAAGAUGAGCCUUGACUUCCAACACACUGAGGGCACUGUGCUUCAAAAGCACCCCUCUCUCUGCUUGAUGGUCCCUGCUCACACACCCCUACAAGCUCUUACCAACUAGGUUGUACCAACCCUUCUGACUUUGUGGCUUUUUAAUCUUGCCUCUGCUCUCUAAUCACUGAAAACCUCAGACCCUGUCCCUGCUCCCUCAUCCCUGGGCAUCCAUUCUCUUGCCUCUGGUUCCCCAGACAAGAAGCCAAUGCCCUCCUUCCCAUCCCAGAGAAGCUUCCAGUUUCCUAGGAGACAUGCGUUGAACGGAAAUAUAUUUUAUCUUGGAUCCCUAUGAAUUAUUGGUCAGCCUUUCCACAUUCCCUGUUACCCCAUGUUCAUUCUCCUUGGCCUCUGUAAGGUCUCAUGAGCCCAUGCCUCACCUGCAGUGCCAGUGUUAGCUCAGGUCCUUUCAUCCUUUUCCAGACCUCAACAUCCCCUCACCAGCCCACCUCUCUGUCCAAUCUACCUGACACUCUGUGGCCAUCAUGCCUUUUAAAAAAUACGGACCUGAUCCUGUCUUUGCUCUGUAAGUUCUUCCUGUGGCUCCCCAUUUCCCUCAGGCCCCUUCGCUGGGCACACAAGACCCUGCCUCCCCCUCAACUGGAACCCGCCCACAAGAUCAUCACUAAUUAUUUGAAAUCCCCAGACUGAGUCACGCUUUCUCAUGGCCCCAUGACUGUGCACAUGAUGCUCUCCUGCCUGGAAUGCCCUUCCCAGAUCUCUUAGAAGACACCUCCUGACAAGUUGAGACUUGUGUAGCCUCACCUCCUCCGGGAAGCCUUCCAUGCUGCCCCUCCAAAGGCUGAGAUAAAGGCUUCUCUUAAGCGCCUCACCCCACCUCCCAGAGCUCCUCUGCCCAGCACCUACUUUGUCUAUUCCACUGGGCUCAGAUUCAAACCCUUUUGAAACAGAGACCACAUCUGACUUAUCUCUGUCACUAGCCUCUGACAUUGGGCCUCUUUGGGAUCCAGAAAGCACACAGUAGGUAUUUUUAAUAGAACCUGUAGACGGAUGAUGAUUGGGCCAGGAUGCACUGAACUGUUCGCUUGUCUGGCAUCAGUGACCUGAUGGAAACACCUCUGGGCACAGGCACAUCCUGAAGCAGGCAGAGAGCAAGUGUCCAGGUUAGACUAGGAUGCUGUCCGCUCUGGAAGCAUGAAAGGUGGGUUGAUGGAUUGAUUACCUGCGAGCUCGGAGCUCCUGGGAAAAGACUUACAUCCCCACAAAGAGAAGGCAGACAAGUGUACUUAGAAACUGAAGCACACUGAAUUAAACACUGAGACCUUCAUUUCAGCAAAAAGAAUUGGUUGUACAGGGGCAGAAAUUUAAUCACAGUGUGAUAUGGUUCAGCCAUGAUAGACAGGGUCACAAUACCAUAAACACUAACUCUGA
Pipistrellus kuhlii (Kuhl's pipistrelle) is the source of this 5747-nucleotide long non-coding RNA. RefSeq lists it as uncharacterized. Lineage: Eukaryota; Metazoa; Chordata; Mammalia; Chiroptera; Vespertilionidae. The record is from RefSeq and is a predicted model, not a curated record. The transcript has 3 exons.